RNAcentral lists this ribosomal RNA (117 nucleotides) under Lepisosteus oculatus (spotted gar). The record is from RNAcentral. Lineage: Eukaryota; Metazoa; Chordata; Actinopteri; Semionotiformes; Lepisosteidae.
ACCAGCAGCCAUAUCACCCUAUAGCUCUCAUCUGGCUACCCACUGAAGUUAAGCAGGGAUGAGCCUGGUCAGUAUCUGGAUGGGAGACCUCCUAGGAAGCUAAGGUUGCUGCUAGAA